This 1265-nucleotide long non-coding RNA is filed under the name Citrus x clementina. RNAcentral's name for it is "Citrus clementina (C. clementina) long non-coding RNA (CCLE_LNC006881)". Lineage: Eukaryota; Viridiplantae; Streptophyta; Magnoliopsida; Sapindales; Rutaceae. The record is from RNAcentral.
UGAGACUUUUUUAAGUAAAUUUUAGAAAUAUGACGGUGCAUUUGACUCAAUCCUAAGGGGUGAAGGGACAUUAACCCUUUCUAUAUUGAUUUAUCUCAUAAAUUUAAAGUUCUAACAUCUCAACCGCUUAAUGAAUAUGCAACAAAUAUAGUACAGAAGUAAUUUAUUGAAACGGUACAAAAAUUAGUAAAAAGAAAACAAAAAGUAAAGAUCUAUUGAAAAUUCUAACUCAUGAUGGAUAUCAUAUAAUAAAAGAUCAACAGUAACUGGCCCAAAUUAAAGCCUAAACUCGAAUCGAGUUUCUAAUUUCCAGUAAGAGGCUCGUGAGUGGUAACAAACCUAGAUUUUUUGAGUAUAUCCACUGUCAUAUCUAUACACACACAAUGUCCAUCUUAUAGACUGAAAGGCCCAGUUGUAGAGAAAACAUUGGAAUAAAAAAAUUACUGUUAAUUUUGUUAUGACCCAAUUUAAGUACUAUUGUUACUGGCACGUAAACCAGACAAAAUUUAAUACGAUCCGAUUACCCGAUAUAAAAAUGAUACAAACAAAUGGGUAUGAGUCAUCAAAUUUGACAAGAUUAUUAAAUGGACUGAGUUCGGGUUUACACAAUUUUUUUCAUGUCGGGUUAGGGUUAAAGUUCUUAACCUAUUUAUCCGAACAAUGACACGAUUAUAUUUUCUAUUUCAAAUUAAUUUUUAGAUUCUUUUCAUUAAAACUCAAAUAUUGGGCACGAUUCUCUUUUUUUAAUUUUUUCGGGGAAGAUGGAUGUAUACAUAGUGUUUUAUUUAUAAAAUUUGAUAUAAAUUUAAAACUUUAAUAGUGUAAGUGUGUAAAAUAUUGAUACACAUGUAUAUUUAUGAUAUCGAUAUGUAAUAUUAUUUAUAUAUAUAUAAUUUAAACUUUAAAUAGUGUAAAUGUGUAAUAUGUUGGGGUGUAUGUGUUUAACACUUGUUAAAUAUUUAGAUAUCAAACAGGUUAUUGGGUGACCCAUUUAUCUUUCGUGCCGAGUUUAAGUCUCAAUAUUUUAACACAAUUAUUCAAUGGGUCGUGUUUGGGCCGACUUAAAUUUGACACGAUACGAACACGAGCCGGUGACCCAUUUUGCCAACUCUACUACCACACUUAAUAAUUUGAAGUUUUUAAAGUUCUUUAACUAACAUAAUACGCAGUUAAGGAUUCAAGUAAUUUGAUUUUUUUUUUGUUUAAAUAUAUAACGCGGAAAUAUAUACUUCUCCAUUUGUUGGACCCAAAAUAUAUUAAUAUUU